Cuculus canorus (common cuckoo) is the source of this 1159-nucleotide long non-coding RNA. RefSeq lists it as uncharacterized. The transcript is spliced from 3 exons. The record is from RefSeq and is a predicted model, not a curated record. NCBI's taxonomy places the organism in Eukaryota, Metazoa, Chordata, Aves, Cuculiformes, Cuculidae.
AACGCUGAAGGAACGGCAGCAGUAUGGCCCCAAUGGCGUCAGGCUGCGCCAGAGGAGGCUCGGACUGGAUAUCAGGAAUAAAUUUUUCACAGAAAAGAUUAUGGGGCGCUGGAACAGCUGCCCAGGAAGGUGGUGGAGUCCCCAUCCCCGGAUGUGUUUGAAAGACAGACACAUACAAAAUAUGCAGGAAGAACAAAACAAAGAUUCUGGUCUUACUCUGUUAGUGAUAUUCAGAGAGGCUGUGUCAUACUCCCAUCCAAACAUCACAUGCUGACUCUGGAUGUUUUUAUGCAUUGGUAAAGUGAAAACUGGUGAAGUGGAAAAAGCCCCCAAGCUGCUUCAAGCUCACUUCACUUCCAGAGGAGACGAUUGGCAAAUUAUUUUCCAUGUGAUACUGAAUAAGAUGACCCACGCUAUCAAAUAUAUGGUCUUUGGUUCUCACCUAGUGGAAGAAGCAAAAGAAUAUAUUUAUGGUCAGAUUGUGCUUCGGCUGGUGGGACGUGAACCUAGUGCAUUAAAGUCAAAAGGUAUUUAAGCCACUGAACGCACUGCAGCAGGAUCGUUGGGCUGUAGAAUGUGAUUCAGACCUAUCCUUUGACUUACCCUUAGCUGACACGAAAAGCAGUUGACCAAGUUAAAGAGACUGCAGGUAGAACUGGGCUGAAGCUGCUAAGGGGAAUGAAAUAACCAUUCUUCUUUUCUCUACAGAAGAGUGAUAGUUUUCCCUAAACCCCAUAAGGAUUACUUUUCUCAUUUAAUCUCUCCUCUGAGAGAUGUCAUUCAAGAGUGCUCUUCUAGGCCUGAGAAGAAGCAAGUAGAAUUGAAGUGACAACAAACCAGCUCUCCCUUUUCUGUAUCCAGAAGUGUUUUACUAAUCAAAUUCAUUAUUUGAUGUUAGGGUUAUUUUUCUAGCUAUGUAAUAACAACUCAAAGGCUAUAUUAAGUGUAUAUACUAAUUAUCAGCUCCUGGACCAACAACGAUAUUUAAGUACCUCACUUCUGUUUCCAUGAUACUUGGGUGCUUAUAAGUUUUUGAAUGGAACUUCUGAGCCUACUGAAGUCACUGACUAAAAUUAAAUUAGCCUAGAUGGAAUCAGAUCAGUUCCACUUCCUGGAAUGCACCCAUGUAUUUCAACUGAAAUAUCUGAGCAGCCCUGAA